Non-coding RNA from Podarcis lilfordi (Lilford's wall lizard), 73 nucleotides. The record is from the annotation of a GenBank genome assembly. NCBI's taxonomy places the organism in Eukaryota, Metazoa, Chordata, Lepidosauria, Squamata, Lacertidae.
GGCCUUUCAAGCUCAGCAGCAGAGCACCUGCUUUGCAUUCAGGAGGUCCCAGCUUCAAUCCCUGGCAGUGUCU